CAGCAAUGUUAUCAACAGCUCUUUGCCACGGCAUCUGACCUCCAGCCAGCCCCAGCCUGUGGCCAGGAAGAAGGAAAAAAAUACUAAUUUUGAAAGUGCUGGCUUUCCAGUGCAAGUGCGAAGCACAUGAGGAAAUGAGAGUCUUUCCGGACUCCAUGGAGUAGGCACCGUGGAAGACUGCAGCAGAGCGGCAGCAGCUUACCUCCCCUAGAGGAGAGGUUCGAGGGAAAUCACAGAAGAGAAGGAAGUUAUAGCAGGAGCAGAACAGAUGAAGCAUCUACCUCCAUCACCACCACCCUCCAUGAAGCUCAGAGUGCAUUGGAAAGUUAUCCAUUAAACAGUGGGUGUCCCUCAACAAACCUGACUAUUCAGCAAGCUUGCCAGGUUGUUCUACCAGUUCCAUGGCACUCGGAAUGUGGCAGAGAGUCAAAGCAAAACUGCCUACUCAGCUUAAGGCAACUGGCUAACCCCAGGAAUAGUGUGACAUUUCAAGAUGCGAGAUAUUAAAGGAGCACAUCAGUAAAGGACCUACUAUGUCAAGAAAAAGCCCAUCUGUCUGUCGGUGGUUUUCACUCAGAACAUUUUUUCAAGAUGAAUUUAUCUUCCUAAGGAAAUAUAUGCUGCAGCCACUUUUAUCCAAGGCUGUGUUGACCCCUUCACAAUAUAGGAUAUAGAUUUGCUUUCUGUUUUCUCAAUCUGAACCUCAAAUCUUCAAAUCUUAGUACAGUUUUGCUUAAUCAAAAUCUAUCUUUUGUUCUUUCCCUUCCUGCAGCUUAUCUUUUUUUUUUCCUCCAUCAUAUCCAUGCCUACAAAAAAGCUUUGUUGAGCACCUUACUACAUGUCAGGC
RNAcentral lists this long non-coding RNA (847 nucleotides) under Fukomys damarensis (Damara mole-rat). Its description in RNAcentral is "lncRNA (ENSFDAG00000028701.1)". The record is from RNAcentral. Lineage: Eukaryota; Metazoa; Chordata; Mammalia; Rodentia; Bathyergidae.